Molecule: unclassified non-coding RNA, 145 nt
Filed under: soil metagenome
Description: partial internal transcribed spacer 1
Source: RNAcentral
UAAUAAGUGUUUUAUGGCACUUUUUAAAUCCAUAUCCACCUUGUGUGCAAUGUCAGUUGAUCUUCUUCAUGGAGAUCGACCAAACAUCAACCUUUAUCUUUUAACUCUUUGUCUGAAAAAUAUUAUGAAUAAACAAUUCAAAAUA